Molecule: long non-coding RNA, 1283 nt
Organism: Gasterosteus aculeatus aculeatus (three-spined stickleback)
Lineage: Eukaryota; Metazoa; Chordata; Actinopteri; Perciformes; Gasterosteidae
Source: Ensembl
GUUGAAAGUUUCGCUAGACCCUCAGCAGCCCCUGUGGCCUGACAAGCCUCUCGCGUGAGACACUCCAGAUGGGAUUCCACACUUAGAGCCGUCCUAAUGACCUGGAGUAUCACCAGAACCACGGAGGCGGAGACGGUCUGGAAGUACCCGCGGCUGGAAAUCCCGAGACGGAGACGGUUUACCGAGCAUCGGUUGCGAUCGAACACGGGGAAACGCACUUCCUGGCAGAGCGACCCCCAUUUGGGAAAAACCUCUUCGAAUGCAGACGUCAGUGUGUGUCGCCUACAGAUUGAAGACACGAUGUGAACACACAACUGUAUUAUCUCAUCCUGUACGCUGGGGGAGGUGUUGACAUGCAGCUUUGGCUGUACCAUACAUUUCCAGACGAUGGCGAAUGUGCAAUUGAGUCAGUCACCCCUGGCUGAUUGAGUGAGAGCAGCAAAUGAAGGAUUGUUUGCUCGGUGACUGAGAUCUGGAGACGGAUUGAAGAUGGACAGCUGCGAAAGAGACCGAACCCCAUGAAAAAUCACAUCCUCUACUGUAAAUCUCUCAUUUAAGACGCUUUAAUUCCUUUGAACAAAGGUCUCGAAGCUGCCGUUCCCCUGGAUGCUUUCACACAGGUGCGGCCCGAAGCAUCUUCCUGUUGUGGCCGACACGGUGACCUUAUGGGCUUCUGCUGCCCGCGAGGCGGUCCGAGAGCUGGUCUGGAGACAGAUCAAAGUGGCAAUCAUGCCCCACCAACAGAGAUAAAUACACACUUCCUCUCUUCCCUUUCACACUGCUUUUUCCCACACUACUCAAACCCCCAUGCUGCAGCAACGCCAGCUCAGAGGAAACGACAAACCACAUCAAGAGGUUCGCCGUUGCUUUGACGGGAGAGCCUCGCGCCAGCCUUCAGGAGAGAGAAAGGACGCCGCGGCAGCCAUUAGAGGGGAUACAAGUUAUUUGUAUGUCUUUUUAGAAAAUGCUAACAGCAAAGCACAUCUCGUUCUCAACCAUGCGUGACCUAGAUUGACGCUAGAUGCUUAAAACAAUGCCAUUAAGUCAAUAUUUACGUUCCGCAAUCCUUCAUAAUUUGCUCAUUCAUUUCGCUAAUUGUGUUUAAUUUUCUGUGCUUUUUGUGCUCCACACUUUACCUACAGAACAGUUGCUCAUAAUUGGAGGUCAGUGCUUUUUUCCUAUAGUAAGAUUGAUACCGUAGAUAUUCUCAGAAUGAGCACAGUUCCCAAAAUGUUAUGUUAUUCCUUUCGGCUGGAGGCCUUGAAUUAAACCAGAAACUGAGC